RNAcentral lists this ribosomal RNA (390 nucleotides) under Dociostaurus maroccanus. RNAcentral describes it as "12S ribosomal RNA". It matches the Rfam family "Microsporidia small subunit ribosomal RNA", at positions 752 to 1207 of the family's 1311-position model. Lineage: Eukaryota; Metazoa; Arthropoda; Insecta; Orthoptera; Acrididae. The record is from RNAcentral.
AUACCCUAUUAUUUUAAGUGUUAAUUUUGCUUACCUGGGUACUAUUAGUUAAGAUCUUUAAACCCAAAGAAUUUGGCGGUAUCUCAUUCCAUUCAGAGGAACCUACCCCGUAAUUGAUAAUACACGAUUAACUUUACUUAAUUUAUUUGUUUGUAUAUCUCCGUUAUCAGAAAAUCUUAUUGGAGUUAUAAUUUUCUUGAUUUAUAAUUGUAAAGUAUUUCAGGUCAAGGUGCAGCUUAUAAUUAAGAGGAGGUGGGUUACAAUAAAUUUUUGUUUAUUAUGAAUUUAAUGGUGAAAUACCAUUAAUAAAGGUGGAUUUGAUAGUAAUUUAAUUUAGUUAAUUUAAUUGAUAUUGGCUCUGAGGUGUGUACACAUCGCCCGUCGCUCUCA